RNAcentral lists this ribosomal RNA (442 nucleotides) under uncultured bacterium. RNAcentral's name for it is "partial 16S ribosomal RNA". It matches the Rfam family "Bacterial small subunit ribosomal RNA", at positions 338 to 795 of the family's 1533-position model. The record is from RNAcentral.
CCUACGGGAGGCAGCAGUAGGGAAUCUUGCACAAUGGGCGAAAGCCUGAUGGAGCAACGCCGCGUGCAGGAUGAAGGCCUUCGGGUUGUAAACUGCUUUUAUAAGCGAGAAAUAUGAUGGUAACUUAUGAAUAAGGAACGGCUAACUACGUGCCAGCAGCCGCGGUCAUACGUAGGAUCCGAGCAUUAUCCGGAGUGACUGGGUGUAAAGAGUUGCGUAGGUGGCAUAAUAAGUAGCUAUGGGAAUCUGGUGGCUCAACCAUUCAGACUAUUAGCUAAACUGUUAAGCUCGAGACCGUUAGGGGUAACUGGAAUUUCUAGUGUAGGAGUGAAAUCCGUAGAUAUUAGAAGGAACACCAAUAGCGUAGGCAGGUUGCUGGGACGGUUCUGACACUAAGGCACGAAAGCGUAGGGAGCAAACAGGAUUAGAUACCCGAGUAGUC